UUGACUUUCUGCCCCGACGGCGUGUCUUUGUUUGUGCCAUCGGGUGAGAAAGACACAAU
This is a microRNA precursor of Oreochromis aureus, 59 nucleotides long. The record is from Ensembl. Lineage: Eukaryota; Metazoa; Chordata; Actinopteri; Cichliformes; Cichlidae.